RNAcentral lists this ribosomal RNA (4479 nucleotides) under Triticum aestivum (bread wheat). RNAcentral describes it as "partial small subunit ribosomal RNA". Lineage: Eukaryota; Viridiplantae; Streptophyta; Magnoliopsida; Poales; Poaceae. The record is from RNAcentral.
AUGGUGUUCCUGCAGCGCAGCAACCCGCGAAAGCGGCCACCGCCGGCGCCCACAGCACCCGGGCCGCCGCCGCCGCCGCCGCCGUUAGCGACAUCGUCCGUGCCCACCCCGGCCGAACCCUCCGCCGUCGACGCGGCAGCCGCGCUCCUUGCGGACGCUGGCUGCACGCUCCUCGUCCCGCCGCACCUGCCCCCUUCCCUCCCGUCCGCGCCCACCUUCGUACCCCGCCUCACCCGCGCGCUCGCCGCGGACCCCGCGGCAGACCUCCCCGCGCGCCUCCUCGCGGGGCUCGCCGCCUUCGCCGAGUCCCCCACGCGGCUGCGCCAGCUACUCCUGCCCACCUCCCCGCGGUCGCAGAGCCUGGCGCGGGUGCUCCUCUCCGUCCCCGCGCUCCAGCCCGGUCUCCUGGGGCUCCUCCUCGACAAGCUGCCCGAGCACUUCGACGACGACGCGCUCGAUGGGGUGCCUCUGCAGGACGACGUGGGGAGGCUUAUCGUUGCUCAGUUCCGCUGGCUUGAUUUCCUUGUCGAUGCCGACACCUUUGUCACCAAGCUUGUGGAGGUGCUCUCGGUAGCACCACCCCGGCUCAAGAAGGAGAUCAUCGGUUCGAUCCCGGAGAUUGUGGGCGACCAGAGCCAUGCUGCUGUGGUCUCCGCUCUGGAGAAGUUGCUGCAGGAGGACUGCCAAGUCGUGGUUGCUGUGCUCGACACUUUGUCAAACCUUAACCUCGAUGCGCUGCUGCAGGAGCAGGCGGUUACAGUUGCAAUAUCAUGCAUCCGGACGAUUCAUGCAGAUCAGAUGCCACACUUACUCAGGUUCUUGUUGCUGUCUGCCACACCAGCCAAUGUUGGCAGGAUUAUAUCGCAGAUCCGCGAGCAACUGAAGUUUGUUGGUGUGGUGGAUCCACGUGCUGCUCGGAGCAAGAAGCUGAAAGGGAAGGCAUCAGCAACUAGCACUGAUGGAGCAAUCCUUGAUGCCUUGAGAUCAGGCCUCCGGUUUAAGAAUAUGCUUUGUGAGGCCUUCUUGAAGGAGUUGAAAUUAGUUGACCAUGCAAGGGAUCACAAAGUGAUUGAUGUUUGGCUCAUCAUGCUCAUAUAUGCCAAUGGGGGUGCUCUGCAGAAAAGUGCUGAGAAAAUACUGAAAUCCAAGAUCUUACAAGGAUAUAUCCGGGAGACAUUGUUUCACCAAUGCAUUCAUGGAAAUACUGAAUUAGUAAAGGACCAUUUUAUGUCAUAUCUCUCAGUGAGCGAUUACCUAUUGGCUUGCAAGGAAGACAAGGCUAGAGCAUUUGCUACCUAUUUGUUCACGGCUUUGUUUGAAGAAUUCAGUGAUACUUUCUCCAGGCAAGAGCUCGUAGGCUCAUUGAUAACUCAUAUAGGUUCUGGGAUCAGUUACGAAGUUUCUUCUGCUUUGGAUAUUAUGAUUUCUUUGACAUCCAACAACUCUGAGGAACUCAUCCCUAUAGCUUCACAUAUAACUGGUAUUUUAGAUUAUCUGGAGAGUUUUCAUGAAGAUAAUCUUCGAAAGGUUUACGAGAUCUUCUGUCAAUUGGCACUGGCUGCUGGCUUCAAUACUAGUUCAGGUGGCUCUUCUGUUGCUAAUGAACUUCUUAUGGUAGUGAGAAAACAGGUUAGCAAUCCAGAUAUGAAGUAUAAGAGAAUGGGAAUAAUUGGGGCUUUAAGGAUAGUUUCAGCUAUUGCAGAUGCAAAUGCUGCUGUGAACUACUCAUCAUCUCAGCAACCAAAUUGUGAGGAGGCCCUGGGACUGCUAAAUAUGACUGUUAACUCCUGCAAAUUUGUGACGUUGCCCUUAAUUCUUCUCUAUGAUGAAUUAUCUGCUUUAUUUGAGAGCAAUGUUCUUCAUUCUGCAAUUAUUGAGUGGGUUGGAGAACAUGUUGCAGAAUUUGAUACCCUUUUUCUUGCUGAUCUUGAGGAUGGCCAGCUAUCAGAAAAAUAUCUCUGCGAGAGCAUUGAAGGGGAAUUAUGGAUGAACUUGGAUGGAAAUAUCUCCCCAGUAUGCGUAAAUAUUUUGCCACUAGUGUCCACCUCGCAACAAAGGUCUCAAGCCUGCUUGCAGAUCCUUCCUUCCCAAUUUCUACUACUAACUACCAUUGAACGUUCAGGAAGUGAAGGCUCACUUGGUGGAAUAAAUGCACUCCUUGGCUGUCCUUUGCAUCUUCCCUCUACAAAGAACCUGGAUGAAUCUAGAUGGGGAAGCUUGUCAGCACUGGAGAAAAAAACAGUGUGUCACUCACUGUACUUUGCGAUAAACUGGAUUAGGGAGUUGCUUAAUGCUUUCAGCACACAAGUUGCGGCCAGAGUUGUUAAUGUGUCACAAAGAGUAAGGGAUGAGACAGCAGUUAAACUUUUGAAGCGUCUGAGAAAUCUAAUAUUACUCGAGAUUUUGUUAAACACCCUUCUUAAAAUUUAUCCUCUAUCUCUACCUGAGCUGCGAUAUCUUGGGAAUUAUUCUGGGUCAACUAGCAGCAGCAAGUUCAACACUGGGAAGAAAAUGGAGGAAGAUAACAUGGAGGGCCCAUCUUCCAACAAAAGACAAAAGGGCCGCAAGGACAAAGCAGCUUCAGAUAAAUUGAAUUCUGAUGAGAAGCUCAAGCAAUCUACGAUACUGGAUGCUUUCAAAAGAGCAGGUGUAACGAUCACCCAAGAAACAAAGAAAGCAUCUUCACGACCAUUGCCAAGUGGAAUGACGUCGAAGGAUGUUGAAAGCGAGGCUAAUAAUCCUGGUGAGCUUGGGCAUAUAGAUUUGAUGGCAGCACCAGUUCAGCUGGAUAUGCAAAGAUUUAAAUUCAGAACACUCCAUGUGAAUUGUUUAUCCUUAUUAAAGUAUUCAGAGUUUCAAGAUUCAACUUAUCCAUAUCAUGAAUCUGAGCUGCCUUUAUAUCUCUAUCUUCUACGUGAUCUAAACAACAAACUAGAUCAUGUAAACCCAUCAAGCAAGCCAUUUUUUAAUAAUUCUCAAGCAAAAUCCACUCGCGCUCAUUGCCAAAAGAGCACAGAAGAUCUUAGCAAAAUCCAGCCACUAUUCUCGAGUCUACGGAAGCAUCUAGAUGGAUCAAUUUCAAUGAUGAAAGACAGAUCAGAUAGCAGCCCAGACAACUGGAGUUCACAUUCGGAUUCAGCAGGAAACCCGCACAUACCAUACGUGAUGGUCUCCAAGUCUUCAAUAGCCACUUCCGUAUUUAAGGAGGUUCUUGGCUGCUACAGGAAGCUACUUGGCACGCCAGAUCUAUUGAAUCAAGCAAAUAUGUCAGCUCUGAAGGAGCUGCUACAGACUUUCCAGCCAACUGAAAAUUUCGAUGAUGAUCUUUCUGAGUUCCGUCCACCUCUGGUCCCUAGUAAUGUUGAUUAUCUGUACUGUGGGGCAUUUAAAAUGUUUGAGGCUAUUAUGGAUGCAGUGUGUUUGUUCUCACACAUUUUGGCCUCUGACGUGCUAAUUACCAUGCAAUCUAUUUUAAAUUCCAUCAUCAUGCUGUUGGAAAAAUAUGGGGAAUCAAAUGGGAAGAAUAUGCAUGUAGGAUGCUCCAAAGAGAUUAUUCCCUUUGUAAAGAAGCAGCUUAGGUUAUCAGCUCAUAAGCUGCUAACUUCUGAUUUCCCUAAUGAAGAUACUGAAAAUGGAUGGCAGAGUAAAGGUGAUCUUAUACCAAGGAUAUUACAAAUAUACCUCAGGAAUAGUGAGUCGACUUCAGUUCUGCUUGAUGAGCUGGCUUGCUCGGUGUUGCCUCAGGUAGCUUCGCUCAAAAGUAAAAGUACUACCCAAGAACUGUCGCAUGGGUUUCCAACAUUGUGUUCUUCCACCUUCCACUCCUGGUACCGUGUGCUGCAUGAGGAGAAUCUUGGGAAUUUUAACAAGAUGGUCAAGCAAGCCUUGAAGACUACAUCACAAUCAGGAGUAGCAGUGGAAAACGUUAUGGAUGAUAUUUUCAAAUCAGUAAAAGUGUUUGUUUCUCUGACAAAUAUAUGUAAGAUUCACGAGAAGGUUGCUAUGCAUGCAAUGGCAGUUAAAUAUGGGGGGCGAUUCAUUGAUGCAUUUCUUAAAGCCUUCAACUUUCUAGAGACGCAAUUUGGGCAACAUGGCGGCGAUAUAGUUAAAAUGAUAAAAGAACUUCAGAAAGCAACAAGAAUAAUCCAAACUAUAUGUGCAGAGGCAAAGGGUUACAAGCGAACAAUGAUCACGAGCAAGAUACCUGCCACAAAGAGAUCCAUGGAGCGGUUUCUCUUCCAAGUGAAGGCCCUCCUGGAACACUGCUCUAAUGUGGAGCGUUGCUGGAUUGGUAAUCUGAAGCACAAGGAUUUGCAUGGGCAUGUGGUAAGCUCUCAGGUGUACGGCGACGUGGAUGGCGACCCAAAUGAUGCAGAACAAGAACAGAUGGAGACUGAUCCUGAAACUCCAGCCGACGAAAAUGACAACAUCGUGGAUGAUGAUGAGACAGAAAACGAGGCAACACCAUUGGAUGAUUGA